CGAAGCGUGCGAUUGGAUUGCACGUCUAAGCAGUAAGGCUGAGUAUUAGGCAAAUCCGGUACUCAUUAAGGCUGAGCUGUGAUGGGGAGAAGACAUUGUGUCUUCGAGUCGUUGAUUUCACACUGCCGAGAAAAGCCUCUAGAUAGAAAAUAGGUGCCCGUACCGCAAACCGACACAGGUAGUCAAGAUGAGAAUUCUAAGGUGAGCGAGCGAACUCUCGUUAAGGAACUCGGCAAAAUGACCCCGUAACUUCGGGAGAAGGGGUGCUCUUUAGGGUUAACGCCCAGAAGAGCCGCAGUGAAUAGGCCCAAGCGACUGUUUAUCAAAAACACAGGUCUCUGCUAAACCGUAAGGUGAUGUAUAGGGGCUGACGCCUGCCCGGUGCUGGAAGGUUAAGAGGAGUGGUUAGCUUCUGCGAAGCUACGAAUCGAAGCCCCAGUAAACGGCGGCCGUAACUAUAACGGUCCUAAGGUAGCGAAAUUCCUUGUCGGGUAAGUUCCGACCCGCACGAAAGGCGUAACGAUUUGGGCACUGUCUCAACGAGAGACUCGGUGAAAUCAUAGUACCUGUGAAGAUGCAGGUUACCCGCGACAGGACGGAAAGACCCCGUGGAGCUUUACUGUAGCCUGAUAUUGAAAUUCGGCACAGCUUGUACAGGAUAGGUAGGAGCCUUUGAAACGUGAGCGCUAGCUUACGUGGAGGCGCUGGUGGGAUACUACCCUAGCUGUGUUGGCUUUCUAACCCGCACCACUUAUCGUGGUGGGAGACAGUGUCAGGCGGGCAGUUUGACUGGGGCGGUCGCCUCCUAAAAGGUAACGGAGGCGCUCAAAGGUUCCCUCAGAAUGGUUGGAAAUCAUUCAUAGAGUGUAAAGGCAUAAGGGAGCUUGACUGCGAGACCUACAAGUCGAGCAGGGUCGAAAGACGGACUUAGUGAUCCGGUGGUUCCGCAUGGAAGGGCCAUCGCUCAACGGAUAAAAGCUACCCCGGGGAUAACAGGCUUAUCUC
RNAcentral lists this ribosomal RNA (1005 nucleotides) under Staphylococcus aureus. RNAcentral's name for it is "partial 23S ribosomal RNA". It matches the Rfam family "Bacterial large subunit ribosomal RNA", at positions 1487 to 2489 of the family's 2925-position model. Lineage: Bacteria; Bacillati; Bacillota; Bacilli; Caryophanales; Staphylococcaceae. The record is from RNAcentral.